AUGCUUCUCAAGCAGGGCCACCUGGAGCCAGUGUUCAAGGCCCAUGUCCAGUCAACUUUGAAUGUCUCCAAGCAUGGAGAAUCUCCAGCCUCUCUGGACAAUGUUUCAGUCACUGGCCAGGUGGCCUUGGAGCAAUACAGCAGGGAACUGGCCGUUCGAGAAGGAGAUGGGGUCACGUUCCAGUGCAGCAUGAGUGGAGACAGUAUGAGCAGCUACUACAUGUUGUGGUACCGGCAGGGGCCGUGUGGCUCUCUCGACUGGAUUUAUGAGGAAGGUUUCCUGGGUUGUGUGAAUUAUGGGGGUGGAGAAGGAUACAAGCUGACAUUAGGAAAAGGAACCUUGCUGGUGAUCAAGCCAGAUAUUACUCCAUCUCCUUCAGCCUACAGGCUGAUCUCUAAAGAUGAUGAGGAUUUGGAAAUGUGCCUUAUCACAGAUUACUCCCCUGAAAGGCUUACUCUUAACUCAGCUGAUAAGCAGACAAAUGCUAUUGUGGAGGUGGCAACUUCUGAGAACAAACAAGAAGCGAGCUACCUGUCAACGUACUGGGCCAAGAAAGAUGAAAUGCAGUGUGGUGCAAAUCAUGAGGGCUUUGGAGAACUGGAGGGCGAGGAUCCUGAAAGUGGUGCCAGCGCUGUCUGUGUUACAGGGGUGUCUCAGCACUUCAGGACAGAUGGAAACCUGAACAUGCUGUCUUUAUCACAGCUGGGCCUGAAAAUAAUUUUAAUGAAAGGAAUAAUUUUUAAUGUGCUGAUAACGAUGCUUAUGUGGAAAAAAAAUGCCUAG
Charadrius vociferus (killdeer) is the source of this 783-nucleotide non-coding RNA. The record is from the annotation of a RefSeq genome assembly. NCBI's taxonomy places the organism in Eukaryota, Metazoa, Chordata, Aves, Charadriiformes, Charadriidae.